Molecule: ribosomal RNA, 450 nt
Filed under: uncultured bacterium
Lineage: Bacteria
Description: bacterial SSU rRNA
Rfam family: Bacterial small subunit ribosomal RNA
Source: RNAcentral
GUGGGGAAUAUUGGACAAUGGGCGAAAGCCUGAUCCAGCCAUGCCGCGUGUGUGAAGAAGGUCUUCGGAUUGUAAAGCACUUUAAGUUGGGAGGAAGGGCAGUAAGUUAAUACCUUGCUGUUUUGACGUUACCGACAGAAUAAGCACCGGCUAACUUCGUGCCAGCAGCCGCGGUAAUACGAAGGGUGCAAGCGUUAAUCGGAAUUACUGGGCGUAAAGCGCGCGUAGGUGGUUUUGUAAGUUGGAGGUGAAAUCCCCGGGCUCAACCUGGGAACUGCCUCCAAAACUGCAUGACUAGAGUACGGUAGAGGGUAGUGGAAUUUCCUGUGUAGCGGUGAAAUGCGUAGAUAUAGGAAGGAACACCAGUGGCGAAGGCGACUACCUGGACUGAUACUGACACUGAGGUGCGAAAGCGUGGGGAGCAAACAGGAUUAGAUACCCCAGUAGUCC